GUUUUGCGACACAUUAGCAGUCAUCAACCUAAUGUUAAAGGUGGAUCAGGACAGUGCAAACUUUCAGUUAUCCCCCCAGAAGCUGAAGGUUAUAUUGCCCACUUUUUAAAAACUCUGACCGGAGGAGGAAGGAAGACCAUCUAUAUUCUUCCACUCCAGGAUGAAUUAGAUACAUCCCCUCUUCCUCCAGACGCACAUGAAUUCCGAACGAUGCCUAAGGCAACUUGUAGAGUCUGCGGAUCUAGCAUGCUAUUGCAAGUGUUGGCUGUGCAUGUGAAGUCCUGUGUGGACCAGCCAUCAUCAGGGGAUGACUUUGAUCCACAUGGAGGGGAAUGGUGGCGGGCGUCGAAAAGCGUUUCUUUGAGAAGGGCAGAUAACCUUGGGCUGUCCCAUCUGGACAAAGGUCAUUUCAGGUGGAUGCAGCCACUGAGACAACAAUUCAAUGUCUCACAGAGGACAUCUUGAACUGUGGGUACACAGGAUUAAUCAGCUUGGGGGAAAAGGACGCAAUAAUCCGCUCUCAGGCUUUCCCAUCAUAACUUAAAGGGCCAAGUGGAAGACCUCAGGCGGACGGCCUGGGGGCAGGACAGAAACGGGGCUUGGGCCCUCAGGUGGACGGCAAGGCAAAGUCUGAGCAGAGAACCUCUGGCGGACGGCCCGAGGGCGGGACGGGUGUGGAGCAGAAAAUCUCAGGCGGACAGCCUAGAGGCAGGCCCAAAGGGCAGAGCAGGUCUGGAGGAUGACCAGAUGUGUGGAGCAACUCAGGAGGUUGGUGGUUGGGGGAUUUUGACAGCGUUAUAGAGUGUUGCAGAUAUGAUGCUGCGCUCCAGACAAUGUCGGAGGUCGGAAUUUCCUGUUGAAACUCCCGACCUCCCACCUCUAAGCGUUCCAGGUGCACAACGUCAAACGUAAACAAAAAACAUGGCUGACCGUGACCACCUUGUAUAUAUAAACGAAACAGAGGAGGAACAUACAGCAUUAUACAUGUUAUUUUAUGGCACUCAUGAACGUAUCUUCAUAUUCCAUUCACUAGCCUAAUACAAUACUGUAGUCCACAAAUACAGCCUACCCCCCUCCACUAUUGAUUGAAAUGUAGUCUAAUGUGUCCAUGGGUACUGCCAUUGUUAUGUGAUGUCAGACAACUGCUUCUUCAUGAAGUGGGGGUACAUGAAUUUGCCCUGAGUUCACAAGUAGGAACUCCGACUUUAAGUGGAGUUCCAUUGUACUGAUAUUUGUUACUUGAACAGUAGUUUGAUGGAAACAGCAGUGUUUUUUCCACA
This is a long non-coding RNA of Siniperca chuatsi (mandarin fish), 1280 nucleotides long. RefSeq lists it as uncharacterized. NCBI's taxonomy places the organism in Eukaryota, Metazoa, Chordata, Actinopteri, Centrarchiformes, Sinipercidae. The record is from RefSeq and is a predicted model, not a curated record. The transcript is spliced from 5 exons.